CUACGGGUGGCUCCAGUGGGGAAUAUUGGACAAUGGGGAAAACCCUGAUCCAGCAAUGCCGCGUGUGUGAAGAAGGCCUGCGGGUUGUAAAGCACUUUCGGUUGGGAGGACUGCUUCUAGCACUAAUAUUGUUGGAAGUUGACGUUACCUUCAGAAGAAGCACCGGCUAACUCCGUGCCAGCAGCCGCGGUAAUACGGAGGGUGCAAGCGUUAAUCGGAAUUACUGGGCGUAAAGCGCGCGUAGGCGGCUAGAUCAGUCGGGUGUGAAAGCCCCGGGCUUAACCUGGGAACUGCAUCCGAUACUGUCUAGCUUGAGUACAGGAGAGGAGAGUGGAAUUCCACAUGUAGCGGUGAAAUGCGUAGAUAUGUGGAGGAACACCAAUGGCGAAGGCAGCUCUCUGGCCUGAUACUGACGCUGAGGUACGAAAGCGUGGGGAGCAAACAGGAUUAGAUACCCCCGUAGUC
Molecule: ribosomal RNA, 465 nt
Filed under: uncultured bacterium
Lineage: Bacteria
Description: partial 16S ribosomal RNA
Rfam family: Bacterial small subunit ribosomal RNA
Source: RNAcentral